UACGAAGGGGGCUAGCGUUGCUCGGAAUCACUGGGCGUAAAGCGCACGUAGGCGGAUUGUUAAGUCAGGGGUCAAAUCCUGGAGCUCAACUCCAGAACUGCCUUUGAUACUGGCGAUCUUGAGUCCGGGAGAGGUGAGUGGAACUCCGAGUGUAGAGGUGAAAUUCGUAGAUAUUCGGAAGAACACCAGUGGCGAAGGCGGCUCACUGGCCCGGUACUGACGCUGAUGUGCGAAAGCGUGGGGAGCAAACAGG
RNAcentral lists this ribosomal RNA (253 nucleotides) under uncultured bacterium. RNAcentral's name for it is "partial 16S ribosomal RNA". It matches the Rfam family "Bacterial small subunit ribosomal RNA", at positions 524 to 776 of the family's 1533-position model. The record is from RNAcentral.